GGAUUGCCCUAGUAACGGCGAGUGAAGCGGCAACAGCUCAAAUUUGAAAUCUGGCCUCGGCCCGAGUUGUAAUUUGCAGAGGAUGUUUCUGGCGCGGUGCCUUCCGAGUUCCCUGGAACGGGACGCCACAGAGGGUGAGAGCCCCGUAUGGUUGGACACCAAGCCUGUGUGAAACUCCUUCGACGAGUCGAGUAGUUUGGGAAUGCUGCUCAAAAUGGGAGGUAAAUCUCUUCUAAAGCUAAAUAUUGGCCAGAGACCGAUAGCGCACAAGUAGAGUGAUCGAAAGAUGAAAAGCACCUUGAAAAGGGGGUUAAACAGUACGUGAAAUUGUUGAAAGGGAAGCGUUUGUGACCAGACUUGCGCCGGGCGGUUCAUCCGGGGUUCUCCCCGGUGCACUCCGCCCGGUUCAGGCCAGCAUCGGUUCUUGUUGGGGGAUAAGAACGGUAGGAACGUGGCCCUCCUUCGGGGGGGUGUUAUAGCCUGCCGUACGAUACUCUGACGGGGACCGAGGUUCGCGCUCCGCAAGGAUGCUGGCGUAAUGGUCAUCAGCGACCCGUCUUGAAACACGGACCAAGGAGUCGUCCAUUAGAGCGAGCGUUUGGGUGUCAAACCCGCACGCGUAAUGAAAGUGAAAUUAGGUGAGAGCUUCGGCGCAUCAUCGACCGAUCCUGAUGUUCUCGGAUGGAUUUGAGUAAGAGUUUUAACGGACGGACCCGAAAGACAGUGAACUAUGCUUGUAUAGGGUGAAGCCAGAGGAAACUCUGGUGGAGGCUCGCAGCGGUUCUGACGUGCAAAUCGAUCGUCAAAUAUGAGCAUGGGGGCGAAAGACUAAUCGAACUGUUGACCACAGUAGUGGGCACAACUGUACUAUUGUACAGGGCUGCUAGGCAGUUAAGAGUCCGGCCGUAAGGCAGGGCUAGUGGGCUUCCAGCCUGCGACACCGUCAAAGUGCGGGGACACCCUAUUAGAAUGCUGCGCUACCGCCUCCGGCUUGAAAGAGCCGCCGGGGCACCAGGUGUAACGGCCUGGGUAUGGUAAUAACGCGUGUAAGCAAGGGGCAAUCCGCAGCCAAUCCCUAACCCACUGUCAAGUGGUACGGGGGCAGUUCACAGACUAGACGGCGGUGGGCAUCUGUGUACAGGUGCUUAAGAUAUA
RNAcentral lists this ribosomal RNA (1155 nucleotides) under Foliocryphia eucalyptorum. RNAcentral describes it as "eukaryotic LSU rRNA". It matches the Rfam family "Eukaryotic large subunit ribosomal RNA", at positions 72 to 1167 of the family's 3401-position model. Lineage: Eukaryota; Fungi; Ascomycota; Sordariomycetes; Diaporthales. The record is from RNAcentral.